CACAAAGGGCCACUUUGAGUCGCUUGGUGACAUAAUGAUUAUAGGAGCAUCACCUGCAAACCUACCUUCAGUUUUAGCUCGUGGAUUGGAAUUCCUGGGAAGAUCAUGUUGCUAAGGAACUCUGUUGCACACAUAUUCUCCAUUGUGUUGUAAUUCAUUGUUGCCUUGCACACAGUGUCCAAGUAUAGGAUUGCUCUUUCUUCGAGAAAUUCACGGUUACGAUAGUUUUGCUGCAAGUUUGGAUCGUAAUAUCCAUUCUGCAAAUUCGGCCACAUUUUGCUUUUCUAUUGGAUCUUCUGACAGACUUUAGCCGCAUGUUUUCAGUUAGUCUAAAUAUUUCGAAGUACUUCCAUAGGCCAAAAGUGCUUUGGCGUCACUUCUUCCGAGG
This is a long non-coding RNA of Triticum dicoccoides, 388 nucleotides long. RefSeq lists it as uncharacterized. The transcript has 5 exons. NCBI's taxonomy places the organism in Eukaryota, Viridiplantae, Streptophyta, Magnoliopsida, Poales, Poaceae. The record is from RefSeq and is a predicted model, not a curated record.